UUGACCUCGAAUCAGGUAGGGAUACCCGCUGAACUUAAGCAUAUCAAUAAGCGGAGGAANNNNNNNNNNNNNNNNNNNNNNNNGUAACGGCGAGUGAAGCGGUAACAGCUCAAAUUUGAAAUCUGGUCCGUUUACGGGCCCGAGUUGUAAUUUGUAGAAGAUGCUUUGGCGACGAGUCCGGCCUAAGUUCCCUGGAACAGGACGUCAUAGAGGGUGAGAACCCCGUAUGCGGCCGGGUGCUCGUUGCUAUGUAAAGCUCUUUCGACGAGUCGAGUUGUUUGGGAAUGCAGCUCAAAAUGGGUGGUAAAUUUCAUCUAAAGCUAAAUAUUGGCCAGAGACCGAUAGCGCACAAGUAGAGUGAUCGAAAGAUGAAAAGCACUUUGGAAAGAGAGUUAAACAGUACGUGAAAUUGUUGAAAGGGAAGCGCUUGCAACCAGACUUGGGCACUGUGGAUCAUCCGAGGUUCUCCUCGGUGCACUCGGCAGUGCGCAGGCCAGCAUCAGUUUGGGUGGUUGGAUAAAGACUUGUGGAAUGUAGCUCCUUUCGGGGAGUGUUAUAGCCACAGGUGCCAUGCGACCAACCCGGACUGAGGACCGCGCUUCGGCUAGGAUGCUGGCGUAAUGGUUGUAAGCGACCCGUCUUGAAACACGGACCAAGGAGUCUAACAUCUAUGCGAGUGUUUGGGUGUUAAACCCAUACGCGGAAUGAAAGUGAACGUAGGUGAGAACCCAUAAGGGGGCAUCAUCGACCGAUCCGGAUGUUUUCGGAUGGAUUUGAGUAAGAGCAUAGCUGUUGGGACCCGAAAGAUGGUGAACUAUGCCUGAAUAGGGUGAAGCCAGAGGAAACUCUGGUGGAGGCUCGCAGCGGUUCUGACGUGCAAAUCGAUCGUCAAAUUUGGGUAUAGGGGCGAA
RNAcentral lists this ribosomal RNA (911 nucleotides) under Blumeria graminis. Its description in RNAcentral is "partial 28S ribosomal RNA". It matches the Rfam family "Eukaryotic large subunit ribosomal RNA", at positions 1 to 927 of the family's 3401-position model. Lineage: Eukaryota; Fungi; Ascomycota; Leotiomycetes; Helotiales; Erysiphaceae. The record is from RNAcentral.